RNAcentral lists this ribosomal RNA (370 nucleotides) under uncultured bacterium. Its description in RNAcentral is "bacterial SSU rRNA". It matches the Rfam family "Bacterial small subunit ribosomal RNA", at positions 434 to 793 of the family's 1533-position model. The record is from RNAcentral.
CAGUAGGGAGGAAGGUAGUGUAGUUAACACCUGCAUUAUUUGACGUUACCUACAGAAGAAGCACCGGCUAACUCCGUGCCAGCAGCCGCGGUAAUACGGAGGGUGCGAGCGUUAAUCGGAAUUACUGGGCGUAAAGCGCAUGCAGGCGGCCUGUUAAGUCAGAUGUGAAAGCCCGGGGCGUUAACCUCGGAAUUGCAUUUGAAACUAGGCAGGCUAGAGUCUUGUAGAGGGGGGUAGGAAUUUCAGGUGUAGCGGUGAAAUAGCGUAGAGAUCUGAAGGAAUACCAGUGGCGAAGGCGGCCCCCUCGGACAAAGACUGACGCUCAGAUGCGAAAGCGUGGGGAGCAAACAGGAUUAGAUACCCCUGGUAG